CCCGAGUGUGCGCCGCGGACGGCUGCUGCUCGGCAGCCCGAGGGGAUCCGCCGGCUGAGCCGGCCCCGUCCAGCGGCAGCGUGGAAUGUGCGAGGGGGCCCGUUAAGUUUGUGUUAAAGAUUCGCAAGGGAUGUCUUAAUUAGGGGCAGCUGUUAGCGGGAACAUGGCGCUAAUUACCAUCACAGCCUCUGGAUGAAGGCUGAGAAGCUGCUGCUGUGAGACCCCAACAGCUCUUCCUGACGGCUCCGAGGGGCGAACACGAGUGUGAGCUCCUGCCUGCCACUGCGCCUGAGGCACCUGCUCUUGGUCUUCAGAGACCCCAGCGCGAGCACCGUGGGAGGAACUGAGCUGAAUAAAAGACCGUGCGCUCAGUGCCAGUGUCUAAUGGCCCCGAAGUGAAGAGCCGAGCGCUGCUCCGGCGGCAGCGCGGCCGGCCUGCCACAGAUGAACCCUCCUAACUAGCGCCGAGGGGUCGGGAGGGACGGCGAGGAGGGGAGAGCCCGAGGGGCCAGCCGGGAAGACGAGGAUAGCGGUGGAUAGCGGUGUGCGGAAGAGGACGGACCCGCGAGCAGCU
This 574-nucleotide long non-coding RNA is filed under the name Manacus vitellinus (golden-collared manakin). RNAcentral describes it as "lncRNA (ENSMVIG00005013120.1)". The record is from RNAcentral. Lineage: Eukaryota; Metazoa; Chordata; Aves; Passeriformes; Pipridae.